GGUCAAGUUAUUAAGGGUGCAGGGCGGAUGCCUUGGCACUAGGAGCCGAUGAAGGACGUGAUAAGCUGCGAUAAGCUUCGGGGAGUUGCACGUAAACUUUGAUCCGAAGAUUUCCGAAUGAGGAAACUCACUUAGAGUAAUGUCUAAGUAUCAUUAAGUGAAUACAUAGCUUAAUGAGGGGAACUCAGGGAACUGAAACAUCUAAGUACCUGAAGGAAGAGAAAGAAAUUCGAUUCCGUAAGUAGCGGCGAGCGAACGCGGAUUAGCCCAAACCAAUAAAGUUUUCUUUAUUGGGGUUGCGGACAUAUCAUAACGAAGAGGUAUCGUAAUUGAAGAGGUUUGGAAAGACCCACCACAGAAGGUAAUAGUCCUGUAUGUUAAACGAGAAGACUUCAGAUAUGAUCCAGAGUACCACGGGACACGUGAAACCCUGUGGGAAGCAGGAGGGACCACCCUCCAAGGCUAAAUACUACCUAGUGACCGAUAGCGUAUAGUACCGUGAGGGAAAGGUGAAAAGAACCCCGGGAGGGGAGUGAAAUAGAACCUGAAACCCUGCACUUACAAGCUGUGGAAGCACAUUUCUUGUGUGACCGCGUACUUUUUGUAGAACGGGCCAACGAGUUACGUUAAGUAGCAAGGUUAAGCACUUAAGGUGCGGAGCCGUAGCGAAAGCGAGUUUUAACUGAGCGUUCAGUUACUUGACGUAGACCCGAAACCGGGCGACCUACCCAUGAGCAGGAUGAAGCGAAAGUAAAAUUUCGUGGAGGUCCGAACCCACGAGCGUUGAAAAGCUCGGGGAUGACUUGUGG
RNAcentral lists this ribosomal RNA (809 nucleotides) under Clostridioides difficile. RNAcentral's name for it is "partial 23S ribosomal RNA". It matches the Rfam family "Bacterial large subunit ribosomal RNA", at positions 1 to 814 of the family's 2925-position model. Lineage: Bacteria; Bacillati; Bacillota; Clostridia; Peptostreptococcales; Peptostreptococcaceae. The record is from RNAcentral.